AGGACGAACGCUGGCGGCGUGCCUAACACAUGCAAGUCGAGCGGAGACAGACGGAAAGCUUGCUUUUGUCUGGUUCAGCGGCGGACGGGUGAGUAACGCGUCGAGCAACCUGCCUUUAACAGGGGAAUAACGCAUCGAAAGAUGUGCUAAUACCGCAUAAGACCACGGCAUCACAUGGUGCGAGGGGUCAAAGGAGCAAUCCGGUUAAAGAUGGGCUCGCGUCCGAUUAGCUGGUUGGUGAGACAACAGCCCCACCAAGGCGACGAUCGGUAGCCGACCUGAGAGGGUGAUCGGCCACAUUGGAACUGAGAUACGGUCCAGGACUCCUACGGGAGGCAGCAGUGGGGAAUAUUGGGCAAUGGGCGAAAAAGCCUGACCCAGCAACGCCGCGUGAGGGAAGAAGGGUUUCGGCUCGUAAACCUCUGUCCUAUGGGACGAAGGAAGUGACGGUACCAUAAGGAGGAAGCCCCGGCUAACUACGUGCCAGCCGCCGC
RNAcentral lists this ribosomal RNA (494 nucleotides) under uncultured bacterium. RNAcentral describes it as "bacterial SSU rRNA". It matches the Rfam family "Bacterial small subunit ribosomal RNA", at positions 26 to 518 of the family's 1533-position model. The record is from RNAcentral.